UAAAAGUGAUCUAAUUUGGUUAAAAUUAAGAUGGGCCUAAAUUAUGUCAUAAAGUAUGGGUUUAAAUGUGUAGAUACUCUAUAUAUAGUUUCUAAUUUUAUGACGGGCCAAAUUAGAAGUAGAGAAAAUAUAGCCAGAUAUAAAAGGGUUAUGGUCCCCAAAUUAUAGGCAUGAUUCUUUUUUGACAUCCCAUCAUUAGAAAAAAUAGAAUUUUCUCUCUUGAUCGUGAAUAUCAAUUUGGAAGGCCCAGAACUGCAAGAUCGCAAAAAUUUUGUCGAUAUCAUGGAUUCAGGUAUGCUUCCUCAUCCAAUUUAAUUUCUUGAUGAUUUGGCAUGAUGGAUUAUGGCUAGAUGGAAUCUAGGGUUUCUACAACAAUUUGGGUUUCUACAACAAUAUUAACAUAAAUAUUCAAUUUAAAUUAUUAAAUUUUUCCCUAUGAAAUUAAGUUUAUAUUAUGCAAAUGGUAUUUAUUUCUUUUUUAUACUGGGAUGACCAGAUGCUAGAGCAUUGAGGUGUGGGCUUUAUCAUGUUAGAUUUUAAUGAUUUCUUUGGAGAUUUGCG
This 561-nucleotide unclassified non-coding RNA is filed under the name Hevea brasiliensis (rubber tree). The record is from RNAcentral. Lineage: Eukaryota; Viridiplantae; Streptophyta; Magnoliopsida; Malpighiales; Euphorbiaceae.